AGCAUGUUGCUAGUGUUGUGUUGGUUUUUUUUUUUUUAAUCCUAUACAUUUUACUAAAAAUAAGUUUACCAAAAGAAAAGUCUGCUUUAAUUUAAUUGUGCUUUAAAAAAUCCCAUCAUCUUCCAGGAAUUAGUUACAGUAUUGUUAGAAUAUGAAACCAUAGUCAGCAAAAGAAGAACCCCACAUAAAAGAAAUUGUAUGAUCAGGAUGCAGAAACCUAUGCACUUACAGGUCUUUUCACCUUCAUUUCCUGUGCUGGGUAUUUCACGGUUAAUGGUGAAAGGAAGGGAUUUGGAGACAACCUGGUGCCCUGCUAGGCGGUGUGGAGGCUUUGCUGGGCGCCAUGGGAUGACAGCAUCCUCUUGACGCUGAUACAGAGAGAAGGGUCAUCGCCAUGCCAGGACAGUGACAGCAGGGGCAGCUGCCACCCCCACUGGCACAUGCUGCUUGACUCGGUGCCUAAAGAUAACAAAACUAGAGCCAUAGGAAAACAGAAGAAUUCCAUUAGCGGGAGCGUUCAUCCUCGGGGAGAGAAAAUGGUAUUUGACAGCCCAGAGACUUGUCACAUGAUGCAGGAAGCACACACCAUCCGGGCCCCUCAGGUACAUCUUCCUUCCCCAGGACAAACCCUACUUAGCAUAGAGGAGUUAACAAAAUCACAGCCCAAGAUGGUAUGACAGCAGCUUGAUUAAUAACGAUUAUCACAGCAGAUGGAAAACUGUAGACAAACUUUCCAUAGAAUGAGUCUACCACAAAAUUUCUUGAUGAGACAGAAGGAUGGUUAGCGACCACAGACUUAUUCCUUACUGAACGGAAUAAAAUUGCUGAAUUUCUACUCACCCCUUUUGAUAAUUUUCACAGAUCUCCAGUGGCUUACAUUUGAGAUUCAGACCUCUCAUUCAUGUGUGAAAUAUACUGCUUACUAUGCGGACGUGUGAUACUUCAUAGGGCAGCGAACGGCGCGUUCCUCCUUAAAUGUAUGUGUGUGCAUGUGUCUCUGAGCAAAAGUGACUACAAAGGUAUUCUGUUCAGCACUUCAGCUUUCCAGUGGGUAUGGAUACUUGGACCUCUGCUGCUGAGAGAAAGCAAGUUUUACACCCACCACCAGAAUGUUUUUUGAUCAUUUGGGUUGUUUUGCUUCGUCCCUGCUUUUUGUUGUUUAAUUUCCAUUACAGCGCGAAUAGCCUCAGCAGGCGCUAACCAUUAAUUCUGGAACACAGAGCCAGCGUCUCUUUUUAUUCCCUCCCUCCCGCCACAGCUCAUCUCAACAUGGAAGAGAAAGGACCUUGCCCUCCUCCUUGUGCCGCUGCUGGAAGGAGAAAGAGCCCUCCGUCCCCUCACGUCUGCUGCAGGACAGGGGGCCCAAGAGGGCCUCAGCACACUGGUUGCAAGACAGAGACCAGUGACCAGAGCCAAAGCAAGUGGAAAGCAAGGAAAGGCUCCUCUCUUGGAUCCAAAGAGCCUCCCGGUGCUGGGUAAAGAUGCCAGUCGGUGCGCGAGUCUUCAAAUGUUGCUCUGCUCCUCCUGCCCCCAUACCAAGGGGAGCCCCCUCCAGCAACUUUGCUUAAUUAACCUGUUCAGAGAAGCUAGAAAACCCCUUCAGCUGAAUAGUUCACAAAUUGAGCCUCAACUGCCAGCAGAUUCCUGUCUUGUAUACUAUUCAGAGUAUUAAUUAUCCUAUCAAAUACUCUGUGUUCCUGCCCCACUCUUAAAGAACCAAAAUCCAAAGGAGAAUGCAUUUGCUAAGCAAACCCAGACACACGCACCUGCCCUGUAUCAGUGAGAGGCGUCAGGCAGGGGAAGAUGUGGAGCUGAGGCGUUUCUGUACCGUGAUUUUAAACGACUUGCCACCAAAAUGGUCCUGGUGAAGGCCGAGGGGCUGAGCCAGAACAUUGACCAGGAGCUUGCAGGUCUGGGCUCCGGCUCCCGCUUUCACUCCUCACCUGCCUGGCUGCCUGCCUUCCUGCCUGCCUGCCCCUUGGCCUAGUCACUUGUCCUCCCUCACAAUCAGCUUCCCAUCUGUAAAAUGUGUCUGAAAUUCACGGGACUGUUGCAAGAACCUAUAAGAUAAUGAAGGUGGAAGCACUUUGUAAACUCUAAGGAAUUACACAAGUGUAAGGGCCCUGGCCAUGUCUCAAUGGCAUGACCGCUUCCUUGCUCGUGAACCAAUAGGAUUGGGAAGUAGGUUAGGGAUGGAGGUACCCUCUCGGCCUCACCUAUCCCCUCUGAAAUACAUGUGUGUUUACCUGGCCCCCACUGAUAGUGAGACUACCAAGGAUGGCUCCGUUUAAAAAUAGGACAACAUGUAUUGCCUAUUAAAAAGGGAAAUACGCUCUGGGGAAGGUUCUAAGUAAGAGUUUGGGGGCCAGAGGGUCAGGGUUGAAAUCAUUCCUCUGCGCCUGGCUGUGUGACACUGUGUAAGUUACUUAACCUCAAUAAGCCUCCAUUUCCUCCACUGUAAAAUGCGGGUGGCCAUGACAUUGCCCUUCUUAGGGUUACUGUAAUGAUUAAAUGAGAGAACGCAUGUUAACCAUUUGUCCCAGGACCUGGCACGUGGUCAAGUCGGUAAGAGCUACCCAACCUUUGUGCCAUGGAGUUCGGAGCAGGCCUCCAGACGGCUGUUUGUAAAUAUGGUGGGCAUUACGUGAAUUGGUGGUGUUCAGCCAUUCAUUUCAGCUACUUUCUCAAGCCAUCCAAGGCUUUGUUCAAAUGCUACCACCUCCAGAAACCCUUUCUUAAUCCAGUCCCCAAGCCUGCUCCCCGCGAUGUAGUCAUUUAACUGUUAGGUCGGGCCAGCUUCAUGGGCACAGGAACUGUGCAGCGGUAAAGAGCCCUCACUCGCAAGACCCACAUGUGGCUUCCUGCUCUGCUGUCUUUUGGAUCAAGGGACCUUGUAUUUUCACUUGGCACUGGGCCCUGCAAAUUAGGUAGCUGGUCCAGGUUACAAUAUUUCAUUUUUGCCCCAGUUCUGUCUCAGAAAUUGUAUAAUUUGUUGUUGACAGGCCUUUCAGAAUACAUAAUUUGUCCUCAUUCUUCAUGAAUUCCAGAAUUGUGACUUUGCCCACUUGCUGAAUUUAUGUUACCCCCAAAUCAACACCGUGGCACUUUCACAAUCAGGCGCAGAUGUGUGCAGAGUGGAGAAAAACUCGAAUCGUCCCACACACAUGUUCCCACGUGAGGUCAAACCAGGGGAUGCUCUGCCUGCUCAUUUUAAUUUUCAACCUGUAAACAAGUGUCCUCUUUGUGGUACGUUUAAUGACACAUUUUUUGCACCUUUGUGCUUUUUGUUGAUGCUAUUGCCAUUUAAAAUGGCCCCCAAGGGUAGGGCUGCAGUGCGUCUAGCAUCCCUAAGUGCACAAAGGCUGUGAUGUGCCUUAUGGAGAAAAUACAUGUGUAGAUAUGCUUUGUUCACCCAUGAGUUAUGAUGCUGUUGGCCAUGAGCUCAACGUUAAUGAGUUAACAAUAUGUGUUAAAUAUCAUGUCUGUAAACAGACACACACUCACAAAGACAAGGCAUGUAUUGAUCAACGGAC
This is a long non-coding RNA of Papio anubis (olive baboon), 3533 nucleotides long. NCBI's taxonomy places the organism in Eukaryota, Metazoa, Chordata, Mammalia, Primates, Cercopithecidae. The record is from Ensembl.